GGCCGCAUGGCGGAACAGGUAGACGCAGUAGACUCAAAAUCUGCCGGCAGCAAUGCCAUCUCGGUUCGAUCCCGAGUGCGGCUA
Molecule: transfer RNA, 84 nt
Filed under: Candidatus Aphodenecus pullistercoris
Lineage: Bacteria; Pseudomonadati; Spirochaetota; Spirochaetia; Spirochaetales
Description: tRNA-Leu
Rfam family: tRNA
About the family: Transfer RNA (tRNA) molecules are approximately 80 nucleotides in length. Their secondary structure includes four short double-helical elements and three loops (D, anti-codon, and T loops).
Source: RNAcentral